This 863-nucleotide ribosomal RNA is filed under the name uncultured bacterium. RNAcentral's name for it is "bacterial SSU rRNA". It matches the Rfam family "Bacterial small subunit ribosomal RNA", at positions 71 to 951 of the family's 1533-position model. The record is from RNAcentral.
UUCGGAUGGAAGCAAUAAACCUUAGCGGCGGACGGGUGAGUAACGCGUGGGUAACCUGCCUCAUACAGGGGGAUAACAGUUAGAAAUGACUGCUAAAACCGCAUAAGCGCACAUUGUCGAGUGACAGAGUGUGAAAAACUCCGGUGGUAUGAGAUGGACCCGCGUCUGAUUAGCUAGUUGGUGAGGUAACGGCCCACCAAGGCGACGAUCAGUAGCCGGCCUGAGAGGGCGACCGGCCACAUUGGGACUGAGACACGGCCCAAACUCCUACGGGAGGCAGCAGUGGGGAAUAUUGCACAAUGGGGGAAACCCUGAUGCAGCGACGCCGCGUGAGUGAAGAAGUAUUUCGGUAUGUAAAGCUCUAUCAGCAGGGAAGAAGAAAGACGGUACCUGACUAAGAAGCCCCGGCUAACUACGUGCCAGCAGCCGCGGUAAUACGUAGGGGGCAAGCGUUAUCCGGAUUUACUGGGUGUAAAGGGAGCGUAGACGGCUGUGCAAGUCUGAAGUGAAAGCCCAGGGCUCAACCCUGGGACUGCUUUGGAAACUGUGGAGCUAGAGUGCUGGAGAGGUAAGUGGAAUUCCUAGUGUAGCGGUGAAAUGCGUAGAUAUUAGGAGGAACACCAGUGGCGAAGGCGGCUUACUGGACAGUAACUGACGUUGAGGCUCGAAAGCGUGGGGAGCAAACAGGAUUAGAUACCCUGGUAGUCCACGCGGUAAACGAUGAAUACUAGGUGUUGGAGAGCAAAGCUUUUCGGUGCCGUCGCAAACGCAAUAAGUAUUCCACCUGGGGAGUACGUUCGCAAGAAUGAAACUCAAAGGAAUUGACGGGGACCCGCACAAGCGGUGGAGCAUGUGGUUUAAUU